Molecule: long non-coding RNA, 1778 nt
Organism: Oncorhynchus tshawytscha (Chinook salmon)
Lineage: Eukaryota; Metazoa; Chordata; Actinopteri; Salmoniformes; Salmonidae
Exons: 2
Source: RefSeq, a predicted model, not a curated record
CUCCAUGCUUCACGGCAGGAACCAUGCAGAGAUCAUCCGUUCACCUACUCUGCAUCUCACAAAGACAGCGGUUGGAACCAAAAAUAUAAAAUUUGGACGUACCAGACCAAAGGACAGAUUUUAAGGACAGAUUUCAAAUUUGGACGUACCAGACCAAAGGACAGAUGUCCAUUGCUCGUGUUUAUUGACCCAAUGAGGUCUCUUCUUCUUAUUGGUGUCCUUUAAUAGUGGUUUCUUUUGAAGCAAUUCGACCAUGAUACCAUUGUACCAUUGAUACCAUUGUAUACCAUUGCGCCGGGGUAGAUGGCUGAUGUUUUACGUGCAACAUCCGCACUAAGCUAAAGGCUAGAGCUGCCGCUUUCAAGGAGCAAGCCUCUAACCUGAAAGCUUAUACGAAAUCCCGCUAUGCCGUCCGACAAACCAUCAAACAGGCAAAGCGUCAAUACAGGACUAAGAUCGAAUCGUACCACACCAGCUCCGAUGCUCGUCGGAUGUGGCAGGGCUCCCUGAACUCUUCAUUUUUAUGUAGCCUUCUCACAUGAUGUGAGCUAUAACUUGUUUCCAUGAACUACACAGAGACUUGCAUAGAUGUCUUCCAUAAUAGCUACUCUUAGUCCUGAACUGCCAAGGAGUCAGACACCACUUGGUCUACAUAGAACUCCACUGAGACAUCCCUCCCUAUCCUACUCUCACUUCCUGUUUAUCCAGAUCAAGUGAUCUCUUAUGCUUGGUUAAUACUAAUUCCUCCUUGUUUAACUAUGUCAAUAUUACCCUCUGGCCUCUCGGGUUCAUGGUGUAGGAAAUGAAGUCUCCCAACCAUACAGCUUCGGAUGGACAGCUCACCUAUAAAGCCCCACCCUCUUCCAGAAAACACAUCAUUAGCAAGUGUCAGACACAUUUUCACUUCUAUGAACAAGAACAGUGAGGAAAGGACAGGUAAGGUAUUUUUCAUUCGAGAGAUGGCCCCCAGAAUUCUGUUAAUUCCAGUUCUCCUCUCGAACUCUGUUAUUGUUCGACAGUGUCAUGGUGUCUUACCCUCCCGCAGUGUGAUAUGAAUCCGGGUAGUUCUUUCUGCUAGCUGUCACCAGGAGUCCUUGGUAUGGUCCCCCCAACAGGCCUCGGGGACUGGAUUGAGUGACUUCACCUGUAAUUCACCUGUAGUGCAUAAAAUCUUGGACAUACAGGUUUGGUUAACAAACAGUUUCUCAUUUGUUCUAUCUGAUUAUAUAUUUAACUUCUAUACCUACUUGUUAGCUUUUUUUAUCAGUUAAUUAUCCCGUAGGUCACAUCCUAUCCUAUAACACAAUUUACCCAUCCCCCCUUUGUUACCUGGCUCUGCCCAGGUAACAACCUUGCCUACUCUUAAACAAUGACUUAGGUAAGAUUAGUCAAUUAUCCUUAUGUCUGACAUCAUCAUGUAGGAGCCCCUUUCAUUUUCCACAUGUCAAAUUCUCCCUUGGGCGUCCAUUCAUGUCAAUCCUGUACCAAUUCUCUGUCAAGUUUCUUAUCUACUUUAAGAAGUAUCUGUGCUACUUAUAUAUUGUCUUAAAUAUAUAUAUUUACCGAUUUAAACCGUAACCCUUUUCUCUCAUAUCUCUCAAAUACCACUAAGCUUCUAACGGUUUGACUUUAUCUAAAAUAAUUGAUUUUAGAAAAAACAUGUCUAUGAGUGGCAAUCUCUAAAGUCCUUACAUUUCCUUAAUCAAUCUAUCUUAAUCCUAACAAUAAUCCUAAAUCAUCACAGAUGUCCUAUAUUCCUGUUAAAUGUAAUACUUUUU